Molecule: long non-coding RNA, 16654 nt
Filed under: Hordeum vulgare
Lineage: Eukaryota; Viridiplantae; Streptophyta; Magnoliopsida; Poales; Poaceae
Description: long non-coding RNA (HVUL_LNC012816)
Source: RNAcentral
GCGGUGCUGGUGGCGUGGUUGCGGUGGUGGAGGUGCGUGCGUGUCCCGGCGUUUGGUCGGGGAUGGUCUUUGGGCGGUCUAGAUGCAGGGCGGCGGCCCUGGCGGUGGCAGGCGUGUUGAUCUUGGGCAGAUUGCACGGCUCGGGUGUGGGCGAGCAGACAUGGCCGCUCGGGCGGCAUGGAUGGGGGUGGUUGGCGGAGCGGAGGUGCAUCGGAGGGGUCGGAGCAACAGGAUACCUCACUUGCCCAGUCAUUGGACUGGCCGACAGCGGUGGCGACUGCGGUCGUCGUUUCCUCCUUGCAGGCACCGUCGUGGUGCUUCCACCCCCUUCGUGUUGCUCCAGGUGAAAACUUGAUCCGUGGGAUCCGACUGUGGCGGCUAUCCAUGGUCGUGCCCUUCUUGAAGGCACCGUUUUGGAGUCCCCGCCCCGACAUUGGCCGUCUCGCCUCUCUUCGAUGGAUCGCACUUGUGGUGGUGUUCGUCGACUCAAAGCGGUUAUUCUUUGCUCAUUUGUAGUGUGCUUGGUAGUUGUUGAGGUGGUGUGUCGGUGCCCGGCACCUUUGUAUCUUGCCUUGGGUGUGAGUGUUGAGUGCAGUGGUUGCGUGUGUUUGUAUCGGUGCUCUCGGAUGUAUGCGGUGAUGGUUGCUUUAUAUAUAAAGCGGGGGAAACUCUUCUUCGUCAAGUUCCAGUGUCGUACACAAUCUUUCUCUUAAAGUUUUAGGUUAGAAUUUCAAUAUUUUUUAGUUGCUUAGUGUUCAAUUUUUUCUACGAGAGUUUUAUGUUAUCUGAGAGGACAAAUUAAAAAUCUCAAAUCAUUUUCUAGAUGUCACACGCAUAAGAGUAAAAAAGAACACCAGAGGCUGAUGGAUAAGUCUAUGUACUAUGGUCUUUGUGGUGCUGCAGCACAUGGUCCUUUGUGGGGCUGCAGCACAUGGUCCUUGUGGCUGUUAGGAUAGAAUCCUUGACCAUCAAGGACUGGCAGUUAGGAUAGCAUCUUAGACUAGCAUCUUAGCAGCAUCUUAGACUAGCAUCUUAGCAUAUGCUUGGCUGGCUAGCAACCUAUAAAUAUGUAUCCCCAACCCCUCAGGUUGGCAUGGCAUUGUGUGAGAAAUAAACCAACAAAAUUGUCCCAACUCUCCUAGUGGCAUCCACAACUAUCAAUGCUCAGGCUGAAAGGUCUAACAAGUGGUAUCAGAGCCUCGUUAUCUUGUACCCUGAGCAUUUCCUGCUCACCUCUCUCAUCGGGAGCUGAGCAGCCUAAGCCGGUAGCAGCAGCUUCUCCGACUGCCCCUAGUUACCUCCCUCCCUCCGGACUGUCGAGCAGCAGCAGCUCGUCAGCAACAACCUCCUCUUCACGCAACAACCCCCCUGCAGCGAGCCAUGUCUGCAGGUCGCUCUCAGCACACGGCUACCUCGAGCAUACGGCGCCGGCAGGAGGCCGAGCGCACCGUGGCAGAGGAGCGUGAGCGAGCAGCUGUAGCAGCAGCUGCUGCGGCAGCAAGGGUGUCGAGGCUGGCUGCAGCGGAGCUGGCAGCAGCCAGAGCAGAGGUAGAAGCAGCCAGGGCGGAGGUAGAAGCAGCAGCAGCAGCGGAGGCAGCACGUGAGGCUACGGCGGAUGCCAAGGCACUCCGUGUCGGCUCCGGCAGCUCCAACGGCUCCGCGCCUGCGGACGACGGCGCCGACGCAGACCGCGCCAAAGUGGCGCAAGAGCGGACGGCGCAGUGGGCAGCUGAGCACGCCCGCGCUCCAGGUGAAGGUGCGCACGGCGACGGCGGCUGCAACGACCAGGACCGCGGCCUCUACGAGGUCCAGACUGUGGUCAGGGAUGUUGGUCCCAGUGUUGGGUGGCCUACCCUCACUAAAACCAACUACGUCGAGUGGGCCGCGAUCAUGAAGAUCAGGCUCCAGGUGCGGCGGCUGUGGGAGGCAGUCCAGGACAGCAACGUCGACCACCAAGAAGAUCGACGGGCGCUGGACGCCCUCAUCGCCGCAGUCCCGCCCGAGAUGCAGUUCUCGCUUUCCAACAAGCGGACUGCCAAGGAGGCUUGGGACGCCAUCGCCGCGGCACGCAUCGGCAGCGACCGUGCUCGCAAGUCCACACUGCAGGCACUUCGUAAGGAGUGGGAGAGCCUGGCUUUCAAGCCAGGUGAGGACGUUGAUGACUUUGCUCUCCGUCUCAACACUCUGCUGCAGAAGAUGGUGAAGUUCGGCGAUGCCACCUACACCGAGGAGAGAGCUGUCGAGAAGCUUUUCCGGUGCAUCCCCGAGAAGUACAAGCAGAUGGCUCGCUCGAUCGAGUCUUUGCUGGAUCUCUCCACGAUGACGAUCGAGGAGGCGAUAGGUCGCCUCAAGGUCGUCGACACCGACGAGCCACAGCCGCCCUCGGGGCCCAUCACCACCGACGGGAAGCUGCUCCUAACUCGGGAGCAGUGGGAUGCCAGCCUUGGUGACAAGAAGAAGGGGGAGCCUUCUUCCACGACAGGCGGCCGCAAGCGCGGCAAGCAGCGUAAGGCGCGAAGGGGCGGCAAGGCACAAGGACGUGCCGAAGGUGACGCCCGCGGAGGCGCCAAGGACGGCGUCGCUGGCAAGCCCAAGCCAGCACAGGACAACAGCUGCCACAACUGUGGCCGGCUUGGCCAUUGGGCCAAUGAGUGUCGACAACCACGACAAGGCCAGGCUCACGUCGCACAGGCGGAGGAGGAGGAGACGACUCUGUUCAUGGCGCAUGCAAGCAUCGAGCUACCUUCAGCGACACCAGUCGCAAAGGCUCUCCUCCACCUCGACGAGCCAAAAGCACACGCUCUUCUCGGCGAUGGCUCCGGGAAGGACAAGACUGCGGGGUGGUGCCUCGAUACCGGCGCCACCCACCACAUGACCGGUCGAAGGGAAUUCUUCGCCGAGCUCGACUCCGACGCGCGAGGCUCCGUCAAGUUUGGGGAUGCCUCAGCUGUGGAAAUUAAGGGCGUCGGCUCCGUCAUCUUCACCACCAAGACGGGAGAGCACCGGCUGCUCACCGGUGUCUACUACAUCCCCGCGCUAAGGAAUUCCAUCAUCAGCUUGGGACAACUGGAUGAGAACGGCUCACGCGUGCUGAUUGAGCAUGGGGUCCUACGCAUCAGGGAUCGCCAGCGUCGCCUUCUUGCCAAGGUACCCAGAGGUGAAAAUCGACUCUACGUCCUUGAUGUGCAGGUGGCACAACCGGUCUGUCUCGCUGUCCGUCGGGACGACGAGGCGUGGCAAUGGCAUGAGCGCUUUGGGCACCUUCAUUUUGAGGCCCUGAAGCGUCUAAGUGCCAAGGAAUGGUGCGAGGCCUGCCAUGCCUCGACCAUGUGGAGCAGUUCUGCGACAUCUGUGUGCUGACGAAGCAGAGACGACUCCCCUUUCCCCAGCAAGCGAGUUUUCGAGCCAAGGAGAGGCUGGAGCUCGUGCACGGAGAUCUAUGCGGCCCGGUGACGCCAGCCACACCAGGAGGUCGACGCUACUUCCUGCUGCUCGUCGACGACCUCUCUCGCUACAUGUGGGUGAUGGUCCUCGGCACUAAGGGAGAGGCGGCGGACGCCAUCAGGCGCGCGCAGGUUGCUGUGGAGGCGGAGAGCGGCCGCAAACUGCGCGUGUUGCGCACUGACAACGGCGGCGAAUUCACGGCGGCUGAAUUCGCGUCGUACUGCGCUGAUGAGGGCAUCCAGCGCCACUACUCCGCGCCGUACAGCCCGCAGCAAAACGGCGUCGUCGAGCGGCGCAACCAGACGGUUGUGGGGAUGGCUCGGGCUCUCCUCAAGCAGAGAGGGAUGCCGACUGUUUUCUGGGGAGAGGCGGUGCUAACGGCCGUCUACAUCCUCAACCGCUCGCCUACUAAGGCACUCGACGGCAGGACGCCGUACGAGGCCUGGCAUGGGCGGAAGCCGGCGGUCUCCCACUUGUGGGUCUUUGGCUGCCUUGCGUUCGCCAAAGAGCUCGGCCACAUCGGCAAGCUCGACGACAGGAGUACUCCGGGAGUCUUCAUCGGCUAUGCGGAGGGCUCAAAGGCCUACCGCAUCCUCGAUCCAGAGACACUGCGUGUGCGCACGGUGCGAGACGUCGUGUUCAACGAAGGGCGAGGGUGGAAAUGGGACAAGGCGGUGGACGACGGCUCGACGCCGACGUAUGACGACUUCAUUGUCGAGUACGUCCACUUCAAGGAAGCUUGGGGAGCAAGCAGCUCCUCUUCGCCGAGCACGUCUACCCCAGCCCCCAAAACUACAUCGACUUCGGUACCUGCUACGCUGACGGCACCACAACCGGCGACGCCGCAUACUCCAGCCCCGGCAGUCACCACUCCGGGCUCGUCUUCAUCAGCACCAGCUCACGCAGAGCACAACCCGAUGAAGUUCGCUUCCCCGCUCACUCACGACGAGGAGCGCAUCGACGCGUAUCAUAGCGGCAAACCGCUGCGGUAUCGUACGAUGGAUAAUCUACUCGGCGACUAGCCGGUGCCGGGACUGGUGCCACGCGACCUGGAGGUGCAGCUACAACUCGCGUGUGAGGACGGCGAACCUCAGUCCUUUGCAGAGGCUGAGAGAGACGCGGCAUGGCGCGCCGCGAUGCAGUUGGAGAUGGAUGCGGUCGAGCAGAACCGCACCUGGGAGCUCGCUGACCUCCCUCGUGGUCACCGCGCAAUCACCCUUAAGUGGGUGUUCAAGCCGAAGAGGGAUGGAGCCGGCGCCAUCAUCAAGCACAAGGCUCACUUGGUGGCCCGAGGCUUCUUGCAGCAGGAAGGAGUCGACUUCGACGACGCUUUUGCUCCCGUGGCACGGAUGGAGUCCGUGCGACUUCUCCUUGCGCUAGCUGCCCAGGAGGGCUGGCGUGUCCAUCACAUGGAUGUCAAGUCGGCAUUCNNGGCAUUCCUCAACGGCGACUUGCAGGAGGAAGUCUAUGUGCAUCAGCCACCGGGAUUUGCGAUCCCCGGCCAGGAGGGCAAGGUACUCCGCCUGCGUAAGGCUCUCUACGGCCUACGGCAGGCACCUAGGGCGUGGAACGCCAAGCUGGACUCCACGCUAAAGAAGAUGGGCUUCGAGCAAAGCCCGCAUGAGGCGGCCGUCUACCGACGGGGCAGUGGAGGAAAUGCCCUGCUGGUGGGCGUCUAUGUUGACGACUUGGUGAUCACCGGCAUCAAAGAUGCAGAGGUGGCGGCGUUCAAGGAAGACAUGAAGGCCACCUUCCAGAUGAGUGAUCUGGGGCUCCUCUCCUUCUAUCUAGGGAUCGAGGUGCACCAGGAUCACUCCGGGAUCGCGCUUCGACAGUCCGCCUACGCCAAGCGCAUCGUUGAGCUAGCUGGGCUCACCGACUGCCACCCAGCUCUCACUCCGAUGGAGAGACUGAAACUGAGCUGCGACAGCACGACGGAGGAAGUGGACGCUACGCAGUACCGACGCCUUGUGGGGAGCCUUCGCUACCUCGCCCACACACGGCCGGACUUGGCAUUCUCCAUGGGCUAUGUUAGUCGGUUCAUGGAGCGACCGACGUCGGAGCACCAGCAGGCAGUGAAGAGGAUCGUCUGCUACGUGGCAGGGACACUCGAUCACGGCCUCCACUACCCUAGGUGUCCGGGGGCGGCACACUUCGUCGGGUACAGCGACAGCGACCACGCCGCGACAUCGACACCAGCAAGAGCACGAGCGGGAUCCUCUUCUUCCUCGGCAAGUGUCUCGUGAGCUGGCAAUCGGUCAAGCAGCAGGUGGUGGCCCUGUCCAGCUGUGAGGCCGAGUACAUAGCGGCCUCCACCGCCUGCACUCAGGCGCUCUGGCUCGCUCGACUGCUUGGUGAUCUCCUCGUCCGAGACACCAGAACGGUGCAGCUCCUGGUGGACAGCAAGUCCGCCCUGGCCCUGGCAAAGAACCCCGUUUUCCACGAACGGAGCAAGCACAUCCGACUGAGGUAUCACUUCAUCCGCAGCUGUUUGGAAGAAGGGAGCAUCGAGGCGAGCUACAUCAACACCACGGACCAGCUCGCAGACCUGCUCACCAAGCCUCUUGGGAGGAUCAAGUUCCUCGAACUCUGCUCCAGGAUUGGGAUGAUUCGACUCUCCCACAAGACGACGUACAAGACUUAGGGGGAGAAUGAUGGAUAAGUCUAUGUACUAUGGUCUUUGUGGGGCUGCAGCACAUAGUCCUUUGUGGGGCUGCAGCACAUGGUCCUUGUGGCUGUUAGGAUAGAAUCCUUGACCAUCAAGGACUGGCAGUUAGGAUAGCAUCUUAGACUAGCAUCUUAGCAGCAUCUUAGACUAGCAUCUUAGCAUAUGCUUGGCUGGCUAGCAGCCUAUAAAUAUGUAUCCCCAAGCCCUCAGGUUGGCAUGGCAUUGUGUGAGAAAUAAACCAACGAAAAUUGUCCCAACUCUCCUAGUGUCAUCCACAACUAUCAAUGCUCAGGCUGAAAGGUCUAACAGAGGCACCCCUGGGUUUUAAUCAAAGAAGAAGCAAGAAGCUUGGUUGCAAUAUUCACUCCAGUGGGUAGUCGUAUUUGGCUGGCUUGGAGCAGCAGACAAUCACUAAUGCUCAGUUCUCUAGAUCUCACAUGCAUGAAACAUGGCAUGAGGAAUUCACUCAUUUAUUCAUUCACAUGAACCGAUCAAGAUUUGGAGCAUCUUGGACUCUGCAAAAAAUGUAUUCUGUUCUUCAUUCGCAAAUGAAUAAGAUCAAACUGCUAAUACUCACAAUUGUGCUAACAUUGUUCUGUCUUUCACUCACAGUGUUCAUGUUUUUAACUUAUUUUGUAACCUACCUUUCAAUCCAUUACGAGCAGGUCAAUAGUUCUGGUGUCAUGCCUAUCAUAUUUUCUACAUCUUCAUUGGCUUUACCCGCUACUUUGGCACGUUUCACUGGCUUAGAUUUUCUUAAAAAGGCUGCCAUAGCCCUAACUCCAGGAGGUAAACUGAAUGUUUCUAGUUUGUUUGAAAUUUGAUUAAUUCUGAGGAGAACCAAUAUGCCAGAAAGCACCUGUUGUUUACAAUAAUCUCAUUCUUUUAACUGUCUACUGCAGGUUCUUUUUACCUUCCAACUAAUGUAUUGCUUAUAGCCUUUUUCAACUACUAUUACACUUUUCUUCAAUUGGAUCCUGAUGAUCUUAGUGAGCAAUUGAAGCGAACAGGUGCGUCAAUACCGCUUGUGCGGCCAGGAAAAAAUACAGCUGCCUUUAUUAAAACAGUGAGUUGUUUCUCUUCCAUCAGAAAGGAUGCAUUUUUUGGUCUAAAUGUUGGAGUAUUGCAUGACUAUGUACUUCAAUUGCUCACUCUUGUAACGUGGUAGCUUUUCAUUAGGCUAACUGCAUAACUGAUUCUAUGCAAUCGCUAUGUGGGGAAGAGUAGUUCUUUGUUGAUGAGAAUGUGUCUUUGUAUGGUUAUAAGUCUUAAUUGUUCUGGUACUGUAUUAAACAUUUUGGCAAGGUAGUAUCCCAUAUAGCUCAGCUGUAAACCUUUUAAAAAGACUAGUAUGUGUUAAGCUUCAUGCACUAGCCAACGUAACCAAAAGUCUGAACUGAUGGAAAGGGCUAGUGCAAUCCACAUAUACCGUAACACCCCCUCUCACGUGUGACGGGGAAGACAAGUCAACACGUGUAACCGGAAGAGAGCGACGGGGAAGAUAAGUUCAUGCAUUGUAUUGAAUGUCGAAUAUGCAAUCUUAGGCUACAUAGCAACAAUGAAGAGUGUUACCUUGAUGUUUUGAUGAUGUCUAGAUCUACAUAGAAGAGCAGCAGCAACAACAACACACAACAGCAGUAAUUGUACAUCAUUAUCUAACAUGGAAGGAGAGCAGCACAUCAACAGUACUACUUGUACAUCACAUAAGAGGGCACACAGCAGCAGCAGUAGUACAUCAGCAUUUACAGAACAACACAACAUGGGAGAGUAGUGCUUCUGUUCUUGGCAUAGGAGAGUAGUUUUGGGCCAAAAACUGCUUCCCAGUUAAUCGGCCUCGGCUUGUCAGACUUCUUAACUGUCCCUCCCAGUUAAUGGACACAAAUAGCAGUUUCUCGUAUCAAGAGGGAGGGGGGGGGGGGGGGGGGGCAAUAGCAGUUAAUUAACUGUUAUUUGGAAUAUUGGGAACAUGGCAGUAAACACUUAUGCAUGGACAAAACCUCACUACGGGAAGACAUGAAAUAAAGCCAAGUGUACCAAGAGAAAUCAUCUAUAAAAACAAUAUAGUAUGACGGCGCCCUUCCGAAACAACAGUGUUACAGUAUAUGUGGAUUGCACUAGCCUUUUCCAUAAGUUCGAACUUUUGGUUGAGUUGGCUAGUGCAUGAAGCUUAACAUGGUAUUAGAGCUAGGUCAAUUUUUUGCACGUAGCAACUCGUGCUGUUGAUCUGCUCCGCGCUGCCACUCUCCUCCGUGGCCGUCGUUCGUCGCCGCUGGCCCUCGACGCCUGCUCUUUUCCCCUUGCAGGUCAAGGCCACGUUCGACCCGCCCUUCUGCUGUGUGUAUCACAGGAUAGGGCCGGCUCCUCUCCCCGAUCCAGUCAAACGCCACCAUUGCUCCGUGCUCAACGUCGCCUGCCUGUCGUUCUCAUCGGAUCCUGUCGCCAGGCCACCGUCUCUCGUCGGAUCUCGUCACCAGACCGCCGUCCUUGCUGGAUCCCGUCGCCAGCCGCCGUCCUUGCUGCCGUCCUCGCCGAUUCCUGCCGCUAGCCGCUGUCCUCUGCUCGAGCACCUCCAGAUCGGAUCUCCCCGCCCCAGUCUUCAACUCGAGCCUGCUGCACCUCAGAUCGGAUCGCCCCGCCCUGGACCGUCCCUGCUUGGCCGCUGUUCGUGCCUGCUGCGGGUGUCGCUCCUGCCGGACCAGCCGCUGCUGCUGCGGGUGUCUCUGUUCUCUUGAUCGUUGACUGGUAAAAAAAAUGCCUUCUUCGUCAGGCUAUGUUGUUGUUCCUCGCUGUCUGAUGAUCUUUGAUGGUACCAACUACACUGAGUUUGUUGGCUUCAUGCGCAUUCGUAUGCGUGGUCUUCGUCUUUGGGGCGUUCUUUUUGGCGAGGUCCCCAGACCGCCAUGUCCGCUUCCUCCUGUGGCUCCUACUCCGCCGACACCACCGGUUCUUCCAGCGGAUGCUACUCGGGCUACGAAGGAUGCAACUAAGCUUGCUGAUGAGGCUGCUAUUAGUGCUUAUGGUGAGCAUGUUUCGACUUAUGAGGAGGCUCUUUCUACUUAUCAUCAGGCUCUCUCUGUUUACACCUAGUGGCCCGAUGAUGAUGCUCGCGCUGCAGCCGUUCUCACUGCUAGUGUUCUGCCUCAAUUUGCUUCUGAGUUUCUGGGCCUUCCUAUUGUCUUUGAGAUGUGGACCCGUCUCCGUCAGCGCUAUCAGCCCUCUGGUGAUGCCUUAUACUUGUCUGCGGUUCGCCAGGAGCAUGCUCUUCAUCAGGGUGACUCUACUGUUGAUGGUUUCUAUGCACAGAGUUCUGCUAUCUGGCGUCAGCUUGAUUCUCUCCGCACUGUUGGUUGUCGUACUUGUUAGUACUGCUAGGCUGUGCGGGCUGAUUUGGAGUUUCAUCGUGUGUACGAGUUCUUGUCUCGACUCCGUAAGGAGUUUGAGCCCCUGUGCGCUCAGUUAUUUGCUCGUGGUCGUAUCUCCCUCAUGGAGGCGCUUUCUGAGAUUCGUGCUGAGGAGACUCGCCUAUGUGGCGCUGGUUUACUUGAGGUUUCCUCUGUGCUCGCUGCUCGAGUUCCUGCUCUGUCGCCUGCUCCACCGACUCCUUCCCGCCCCAGUGCUUCGCUGCUCUUGCCUACUCCUACGGGCGGUCAGGGUCGCUCUCGUCCUCAGUGCGGCUACUGCAAUAUGGAUGGUCAUGUUGAGUCUCAGUGCUUCCAAAAGAAGCGACACUCGCGUAAGGCGUGGUCAUCAUCUUCCGGGACCUCUACUUCGACAUCUUCGCCACCGCCUUGACUGAGCAGGAUAUUCUGAGGCUUAAGCGUCUACUUGCUGCUUUAGGUUCUUCUUUGACAGGUACUGUAGGUUCUAUGGCUGAUGCUUCCUGCACUGAGCAACCACCCUCUACACAGUCAUGUACAUUCUCGUGGGUUCUGGACUCUGGAGCUUCUUUUCAUAUGUCUUUUCAUUCUUCCAACUUAUCCUCUCUUAGAUCGCUUGAUUUUCCUGUUCAUGUACUCACCGUUGAUGACACUCCUCUUUCUGUUGCUAGUCGCGACCAUCUUACCACGCCUUCUUAUUCUAUUCCUGAUGUUGCUCAUGUUCCUCGACUUACCAUGAUUUUUUUCUGCUGGUCAACUUACUGAUUCUGGUUGUCGCGUCAUCCUUGACAUUGACUCUUGUUCUGUUCAGGAUCGUCGAACGCACACUUUGGUUGGGGCUGGCCCUCGCCGCCGUGACUCUCAAGGUCUUUGGGAGCUUGACUGGCUUCAUGUUCCUUCCGCUGCCACCACUAUCGCAAGUCCAUUCGCUUCUGUGGCUUCAGCUACCGGCUCCUUCCAGCAGUGGCAUCAUCGACUUGAUCAUCUUUGUGGUUCUCGUUUGCCGUCUUUAGUUCGUCGAGGCCUUCUGGGGUCUGUCUCAGGAGAUGUCUCUUUAGAGUGUCAGGGUUGUUACAUGAGUUUCGCGCGCCGUCGCUCUCUUCCAGUUACACGUGUUGACUUGUCUUCUUCGUCACAGUGAAAGGGGGUGUUGCAGUAUAUGUGGAUUGCACUAGCCUUUUCCAUAAGUUCGGACUUUUGGUUGAGUUGGCUAGUGUGUGAAGCUUAACAAACGGGAGCCGGACCUCAUACAUCGGAAUGAACUAGAUCAAAAGGACGUUGAGACUGAGACAUUGACUCGUUAGUAUGAUAUGGUAACUCGAUUUGUUUGUCAAGCCUACAACCAUGAUACUCUACGUCUCCUGAGACAGACCCCAGAAGACCUCAACACCUCAAUGAACUAAAUACAACAAACAAGAACCACAAAGAUAACCAAGUCGAUGAUGCCAUUGCUAGAAGGAGAUGGCAGUUGAAGCAGCGGAAGCAGAUGAACUGGUAAUAGUUGUGAUAGCCUGGCUUAAUAGGGAUGAUAGACUACUCAUAUCAAUGCGGGAUUCCUUCUUUUUCGGGAGCCCAUUCGGAAAGAACUCCAAAGUUAAGCGUGCUCAGCUUGGAGCAAUUUCAGGAUCGGUGAUCGACUAGGAAAUUGGUCCUAGGUGCGCACGAGUGAGAAAAAGACUAGUGUUGAUCUGUGGGGACAGUUUAGAUCCCGCCAGGAGUAACGGCCAAUAAGCGGCAGGUGUGUCCGGGGCGUUACAAGUUAGUAUCAGAGCCAACCCUCGCGGUUACACGGAUGUUUGCGGGUCAGGUCCGCGGUCAUGUUGUGCAUGACAUUUGUGAUCCGGUUUGUCACACGACAUGGCACAUGUGCUGGACUGGACGCAUAGACGUGUGCCAAUAGGGAACGUUCCUGUGGGCCGACGAGGACUUCAGUUCCUUUGAGUGGGGGUGUAUGUGAUAGCCUGGCUUAACAGGGAUGAUAGACUACUCAUAUCAAUAAGGAUUUCCUUCUUUUUCGGGAUCCCAUUUAGAAAGAACUCCAAAGUUAAGCAUGCUCAACUUAGAGCAAUUUCAGGAUGGGUGACCUUGAUCCCAGAUGUGCACGAGUGAGGACAAAGUGCGCAGGAAAGACUAGUGUUGAUCUGUGGGGCCAGCUAGAUCUCCGCAGGAGUAACGACCAGUAACCAACGGGUGUGUCCGGGGCGUUACAAUAGUGGUGGCAGCAGAAGGAACCUGAAGCCAGCCUAACUCCCAAAGACCACGAGACACAGGGGCAAGGACCAGCCCCAACCAAAAUGGGCGUGCGACAAUCUUGAACAGAACAAGGAUCAACGUCAAGAAUGACACGACAACAAGGGACAGUAAGCUGACCAACAAAAAACAGAUUCAUGGUAAGUCGAGCAACAUGAGCAACAUCAGGUUCAGAAUAAGGACUGGUAAGAGUGCCUCAACUAGCAACAGAAAGCAGAGUACCACCAGUUGUGAGUACAUGAACAAGAAAAUCAAGAGAUCUAAGAGAGGACAAGGUGGAAGAAUCAGAAGACAUGAAAGGAAGUUCCAAAAUCUAGAACCCACGGAUGAAAGUUCCAAAAUCCAAAACCCACGCGAAUGUACCUGAAUGUGUAGAUGGUGAUUGCUCAUUGCAAGAAACAUCAGUCACAGAACCUGAACCUACAACACCCGUGGAAGGAGAACCUAAAGUGGCAAGCACCUGAAGUGGCGAGAACCUAAAGUGGCAAGCAUACGCUUAAGUUGCACAAUAUCCUGCUUAGUCAAGGAGACACUUGAGGGUGCCGGAGUAGAAGCACAAGUCCCAGAAGAAGAUGUGCGCCCCUUGUUGCGCAUGUGCCGCUUCUUCAUUAAGCAAUCAGACUCGGGAUGACCAUCCUUGUUGUAGUAGCCGCAAUGAGUAUGAGAGCAACCCUCACCACCAGGAGGUGUGGGCAGGAGCGACGGAGCACGAGCAUAGAGCGAACCCCAAAGUAAAUCCGCAACACGUAGGCGAGUAUCCUCAGCAUGAAUCUCAAAAAAUGCCUCCGUAAGAGAAAUACGACGACGAGCAAACAACUGAGCGCGCUGUGGCUCAAACUCCUAACGAAGCCGAGACAAGAAUUCAUAGACGCAAUGAAACUCCAAGUCUGACCCCACAAUCUGGCAACACUGGCAAGAACCACAACCAGCAGCACGAAAAGAGUCAAGCUGUCGUCAGAUUGCAGCACUCUAUGUGUAAAACUCAUCAACCGUGGAGUCGCCCAAGAGCAUGCUCCUGAUGAAACACAGACAUGUAUAAGGCAUGACCAAAGGCUGAUAGCGCUGUCCAAGACGGGUCAACAUCUCAAAGACGGUAGUGAGGCCCAUAAACUUAGUGUCAAUCGGAGGCAGAACCACUGAAUGUAAGCAACAUAGCCUUAUAGUAAGUGGGAAGAGCCUCCUCAUAGACCAAGACCCGCUGGGCAUAAGCACAAACUGCAGCAUCAUCAGCAACUUUAGCCGCAUUCUUAGCAGCCAGUGAAGCAUCCGUGGCAAGAGUCGGUGGUAUCGAUGGAACCGGGUGCGGCGGACAAGGGACCUCACUGGAAAGAACGCCCCAGAGACGAAUGCCACACCUAUGAAUGCGCAUGAAGGCAAUGAACUCGGUGUCCCCAGAGACGAAUGCCACACCUAUGAAUGCGCAUGAAGGCAAUGAACUCGGUGUCCCCAGAGACGAAUGCCACACCUAUGAAUGCGCAUGAAGGCAAUGAACUCGGUGUCCCCAGAGACGAAUGCCACACCUAUGAAUGCGCAUGAAGGCAAUGAACUCGGUGUAGUUAGUACCAUACAAAAUCACUGGGCGACGAGGAGUGGCGCAUAGCCCGACAACGAAGACAUGAUGCACCUUUUUUUUCCUUUUUCGUUAUUUAACUAGAAGACAACCAGCCGUAUCAGCCCCAGUUUGAUUAAAUCAAAGGCGCAGCCGGCGGGGCCGUUGAGCUGCAGGGUGGACUGGAGCAGAUUAGGAGCCUCCGAUUGCUGGGCGUGGGAGGCUAGCGAGCGUCAUGGCUCUGUCUGGUUGCGGCUGUGGCCUGAUCCAGUGGGGGCUUUGACCUGCAGGGCUGGGUGACACGACCGAAGGCUGUAGGGCCGGGGCGGCAUAUCGGGAGCCGCUCCUGGAGCCGGUGCGGAAGAUAGCGGUGGCAGAAGGGAGUUUGAUACGGUGGAGACCUGCAGACGGGCGGGAUCCAGCGGGUGGCGAGGUGAGUUGACCUGCAGGGCGGUUGCUCCUGUACGGGCCAGGAGAGUGCAGAUCAGGGCAGAUCGGGAGGCAAGCAGCAGCAACCGGAAGGAAACGGAGGCGCGGGAAGGAGGGAGCAGCGAUGGCCAGAAAAACAACGGCGGCGACGCGGGAUUAGACCUUAGCAUGAAUUGCGCGUGCGAGAAAAUAACCCAGGGUUCUAAUACCAUGUUAUGCAACUUGUACUUCCUGAGGUCCAAAGGCCAGGAAGGCUAUACAUGGAACAUAAUAUAACUCUUAACAUUCUCUUUCUGGUGAUUUCCUUUAUUUAUUUUUCCUGUUACAGAAGAAAUUUGUGAUUUAUUUGUUCACUUGCAUAAUCAGUUGGAGAUACGUCUUGAUAGUUGAAACAUGGACUAACAAACAAAAAUCCUAUGUCCUAUUCAUAAUUGGACGGUCAAAUGGUUGUCCUUGCUAGUGGUAUGGGUCACUGUGUAUAAUCGGCUGAUGCAGAACUCAACAUAGGACGAUAAAUGCUACACAUUUACAAUUGGCACUUUUUUUCUUCUUUUCAUUAGAUUCUUCAUAAAUUUACUAUUCCACUGCAUAUGUGAUACUCCCUCUGUUCCAUACUAGUUGUCGCUCAAACAGAUGUAUCUAGCACCGAAAUAGGUCUAGAUACCUCCGUUUCAACGACAACUAAUAUGUGGACGGAACGGAGGUAGUAAUUUGUAUGAUGCAGUUGUGCGUUUUCAGACAGCUGGACAAUAUUUCUCACUUUGACUAGGAAUUAAUACCACUUUUAGUUUGGAGAUCAGUGGUGACCUUACUCCUGAAAUGUUCCUGUUAGUAUUCCAGAAGUACUUCUAUGUGAUGUUGAAAUGUCUAGGUCCCAUAUUUCAGAUAACUUUCAUGUAUGCAUGUGAGAAAGCAUGUGGCAAUGCUAACCGCUAGGAUCAGAGAGGAGGCAGCCCUUUGGGCUCGGGCUGGGGCUGUUGGCCUGGGGGUAGUAGUCCUGCCGAUCACCUGGGAUGUUCACUAGCCUAGUGUUUUUUCUUUUUGAUUGAGCCUCAGGCUCGGACCCUUGUACAGUUUUUACUAUCCUCCUUUUCAAUGAAAUGAAACGCAAAGCUUUUGCACUUUCCCGAAAAAAAAAAAAAAGAAAGCAUGUGGCACUUCAGCCAUGCAUCAAUUUUGGACAAAUAGACUUAGAAGUACCACAUCCAAUAAGAAACGCAAUCAACAGAACUGAAGCACAUCUGAUUUUGUCCACUGUAUCUCAGCAAUAUCUCACACUAAAAAUAAUUUGAUCUUAUUGCAGGUUCUUAGUCGUAUCUCUGUCCUAGGAUCUGCCUUUCUCGCUGUACUAGCUGCUGGACCAUCUGUGGUUGAACAAAUCUCUCACUUGACAGCAUUUCGGGGAUUCGCUGGUACAUCAGUGCUCAUCCUUGUUGGAUGUGCAACCGACACGGCUCGGAAAGUUCAGACAGAAAUAAUUUCUCAGAAAUAUAAGGACAUCGAGUUCUAUGAUGUCAAAAGUUCUGACAAAUGAUUAUCUUCCAAACGUGUACUUCAAUAUAAUCUCAUACAAAUUUGGUAGUAUUUCAUUAUUCUUUUCCUUUUUCUCUUCUGUGUAUAUCAGUUAGAUCUCUUCUAGAGGAUCAGAGUUCGGAAAGCAUCAAAUAUGUAAAAGAUACUCUAUUGCUGUGGAAGCUAUACAAACUCAUGUAUAUUUCUGUUGUGGGGUGAUCGGAUGUGAUUUUUAAACUUUAUCUAUAUUGCUUCUUAAAGUUUUAGAACUAAAGCAUUGGCGAGUGUUCAACAUGUCCGUAGAGAGACUGAGAAACAGAGAUGAUAUUAUGUUCAAGUCAACUCAAUUAUUUCUCUGUUUCUUAGUCUCUACGUUUAAAAAUCAAUAUUGCAACAUUUGCAACUCAAUAGUGUAGCAUAUACUCUGUUGCAAUAAAUGUUUCACGCAUAUACUCCGAGCUCUCUUUCUCAAGUCAACUUAAUUAUGUCCACAACUUUAUGCAAUAGGGAGUAUAUGCUACACUAUUGCAACUCCCUAUUAACUGGCAUGCCAGUUUACGCAUAUGCGCACAUUUUGCUUUUAGCUUUUAACAAUGAAGAGGAACAAGGAAGACUGAAACGGGUACAAGGUCAAAUGGUGAGUGCAGCAAAGUCAUCAAUCUACUUCAGCCCGAACACACAUGUGGAUGAUAAAGUUGUGGUAUGCCAAAUUCUAGAUAUAAUGACAGAAUCCCUCUCGGACAACUAUUUGGGUCGUCCAUCGAUGAUUGGAGUGGACAAGGUUGAUUGCUUCAAACAUUUAAUUGAAAGAAUUCAGAAACUAGUCAAUGGGUGGAAGGAGAGAACACUUUCAUAUGGUGGGAAAGAUGCAUUGAUAAAGCCUGUGGCCCAAGCCAUACCUACUUACCUACUUAUGCAUGAGCGUAUUCAAAAUUUUGAAAAUAAAUUGCAAGGGAAUCACUCAUGCCAUAUUGCAUUAUUGGUGGGGUGAUGGAGAAAACCAUCGUAAAAUGCAUCGGUUCGCGUGAUGGAAGAUGUGUGUUCCUAAAGAUAAAUGUGAUCUAGGCUUUCGUGAUAUUAGUAGCUUCAACUUGGCAAUGCUCGCAAAACAAUGUUGGAGGCUCGCUGAAAAUUAUGACUCCCUUUGUUCCAAGGUUUUGAGGUCUAAAUAUUAUCCCACACGUGUGCAGGAUAGUUAGAAGGUGUGUCUAGAGGGGGGGGGGGGGGGGAAAAGACAGGGGGGGGGGGGGGGAAUAGACUACUUGUCAAGAUUAAAAUCCCAGCCUUUACCCAAUUUUAUGGUUGGUAGAUUUUAGCAAUUCUGGCAAGUCUAGUACACCCUACACAUGCUAGUCAACAUAUAUGGCAGCGGAAAAGUAAAGAAAUUGCACAUGUAAAGGAGUAGAGUUUAGGAGAUCAAACACA